RNAcentral lists this transfer RNA (76 nucleotides) under Ictidomys tridecemlineatus (thirteen-lined ground squirrel). RNAcentral's name for it is "Spermophilus tridecemlineatus (thirteen-lined ground squirrel) tRNA". It matches the Rfam family "tRNA". From Rfam's summary of the family: Transfer RNA (tRNA) molecules are approximately 80 nucleotides in length. Their secondary structure includes four short double-helical elements and three loops (D, anti-codon, and T loops). Further hydrogen bonds mediate the characteristic L-shaped molecular structure. tRNAs have two regions of fundamental functional importance: the anti-codon, which is responsible for specific mRNA codon recognition, and the 3' end, to which the tRNAs corresponding amino acid is attached (by aminoacyl-tRNA synthetases). tRNAs cope with the degeneracy of the genetic code in two manners: having more than one tRNA (with a specific anti-codon) for a particular amino acid; and 'wobble' base-pairing, i.e. permitting non-standard base-pairing at the 3rd anti-codon position. The record is from Rfam by way of RNAcentral. Lineage: Eukaryota; Metazoa; Chordata; Mammalia; Rodentia; Sciuridae.
UGGGGUGUGGCUCAGUGAAAGAGUGCAAGCCUCGCAUACAUAAGAAAGGUCCUGGGUUCAAUCCCUAGCACCACAA